AUACGUAGGUGACAAGCGUUAUCCGGAUUUACUGGGCGUAAAGGGCGUGUAGGCGGUCUUGCAAGUCAGAAGUGAAAUUCCUGAGCUCAACUCGGGCGCUGCUUCUGAAACUGCAGGACUUGAGUGCUGGAGGGGAUAGCGGAAUUCCUAGUGGAGCGGUAAAAUGCGCAGAUAUUAGGAAGAACACCGGUGGCGAAGGCGGCUAUCUGGACAGUAACUGGCGCUGAGGCGCGAAAGCGUGGGGAGCAAACAGGAUUAGAUACCCUUGUAGUCCACGCCGUAAACGAUGAAUACUAGGUGUAGGGGGUAUCGACUCCCUCUGUGCCGCAGUUAACACAAUAAGUAUUCCGCCUGGGGAGUACGGCCGCAAGGUUGAAACUCAAAUGAAUUGACGGGG
Molecule: ribosomal RNA, 397 nt
Filed under: uncultured bacterium
Lineage: Bacteria
Description: partial 16S ribosomal RNA
Rfam family: Bacterial small subunit ribosomal RNA
Source: RNAcentral